GCGAGUGAAGAGCAGGUAAAAGAACAAGAAGAUGCAGGUGGGUGCUGAGGAGGAAGAACAUUAGCGAGAUAAGCACCAGCACUCACCCAAACCAAGGAAGGAGAAGACCCAGAACACCACUGUGGCGGUCUGCAGCCUCCUGCAGAAGGGCACGUCUAAAGGCGCAAAAUCAAUCUUCAUCUUUUUCAUAAAGAGAAGAGAAACAAACCGAAGCGCUGCCGUGGAGACCAAAAUGAACAAUCAGUGAAGUGGGUCCAAAGUCUGCACUUUUCACCUUUUCACCAUCACCUCCUGUGGACGGGCUUAUCUUAGCUCAAUACAAUCAUUUCUCAGUCCAUAUCUACCACAUCUGACUUUUGACCCUGCAAAGAAGCGGCUCCUCAAACACAGAGCUUUCAAACAACCUGGUGGGAGAAGGAGAUGUCAAAGCUUUUUCUUUCUUGCUUUUACUUUGAUUAACUCCCUGUAAGAGCAUUAAAGGCAAUCAGUGUUUAGUGUGAUUAUGCAA
Long non-coding RNA from Melanotaenia boesemani (Boeseman's rainbowfish), 508 nucleotides. RefSeq lists it as uncharacterized. The transcript is spliced from 2 exons. The record is from RefSeq and is a predicted model, not a curated record. NCBI's taxonomy places the organism in Eukaryota, Metazoa, Chordata, Actinopteri, Atheriniformes, Melanotaeniidae.